UCUCUCAUUCCAGAGCAGCGAUGGGAUGAUUCCGUUGUUUGAAAAUGGCGUUGUGUUGUGUGUGUGUUUAAGGUUCAGGGUAGGGUCUUAUGAGAGGGUUUUGUGAGAGAACCUUCAAUGGGUUAACUUGUUUACUUGCUAACCUUCUUAUAUUACUAAAAAGAACUCUAUUUUUCUUUCUUGUCUGUUUCUUAUCAUUUUACUUUUUAACUAUUUAGUCUUGACAUUCUAUAUCAGACCAAACUUCAUAGUAAAGAUUAUUAAGCUUAGCAUGUCCUGACUAACCUGCGUCAUAUUAAAUAGUAUGGAAAGAGAAGAAAAAUUUGAAAACAGAGAAAUUCAAUUACUAUUUACACAUUUUGACGGUGUGAUUAUGCUAAUUUAUCUACUAUUAAAUAAGUUGUGUAUAAUGAAGAAAGCUAAUCAAAUCAUGUGUUCUUUGUUUGGUACUAGUCUACUACACAAUAUUUAAUUGGAUAGUAUAGUUAAUAGAGAGAUGUGUACUUAUCUAACUCUGGAAAACCACGUCAUGUGAGAUUUGUUAACAAAACGACACAUUUUGCCGUUUUAUUUGUUUUCAGCUCCAAAAAUUCAAGUCAUCUCUGUGUUUAAAAAUUUUAAUAUGAGAGAGACGCUGUACCUUUUUGUCAAACAUAGUUGACACUUUAAUUCGGUCGAAGUGUUUACUGGAAUUCAAACUUACAACUUCGACCCCUCCAUUUUAAAAUUACGGUUCCCAAUGGUGACGAAACCGCACGUUGCAGUACAAUUUUAAUACUCCCUCCAUUUUUAUUUAGUUGAUGUUUUAGGAGAAUACACAUGCAU
Molecule: small RNA, 825 nt
Filed under: Arabidopsis thaliana (thale cress)
Lineage: Eukaryota; Viridiplantae; Streptophyta; Magnoliopsida; Brassicales; Brassicaceae
Description: ATSL222680
Source: RNAcentral